GCAUUACAUAGGAGGCGCAGGCGCGCAAUUACCCAAUCCUGACUCAGGGAGGUAGUGACAGGAAAUAACAAUAAACCGGCUUAUGCCGGUUUAAUUGGAAUGAGUACAAUUUAAACAUCUUAACGAGGAACAAUUGGAGGGCAAGUCUGGUGCCAGCAGCCGCGGUAAUUCCAGCUCCAAUAGCGUAUACUAAAGUUGUUGCAGUUAAAAAGCUCGUAGUUGGAUUUCUGUGGGGACGGAGCGGCCGGCCGCAACUCGCGGUUCGAGCUAGCGCUUUCCCUACAUCCUGCCGCGAACCGUGCUACCAUUAGUUUGGCGGCGCCGGGGAUCGGCUCGAUUACUUUGAGAAAAAUAGAGUGUUCAAAGCAGGCCACACGCCUUGAAUAAGUUAGCAUGGAAUAAUAACUAAGGACUUCGGUUCUAUUUUGUUGGUGUUCGGGACUGAAGUAAUGAUUGAUAGGGACAGUUGGGGCGGUCUGUAUUCCAAAGCGAGAGGUGAAAUUCUUAGACCUUCGGAAGACAAACAGCUGCGAAAGCGUUCCGCAAGGAUGUUCCCUUUGAUCAAGAACGAAAGUUGGGGGAUCGAAGACGAUCAGAUACCGUCGUAGUCUCAACUAUAAACUAUACCAGCUAGGGAUCGGCCAACGUUAUUUAAACCGACUUGGUCGGCACCUUAUGAGAAAUCAAAGCAUCUGGGUUCCGGGGGGAGUAUGGUCGCAAGGCUGAAACUUAAAGGAAUUGACGGAAGGGCACCACCAGCCGUGGAGCCUGUGGCUUAAUUUGACUCAACACGGGAAAACUUACCAGGUCCAGACAUAGUAAGGAUUGACAGAUUGAUAGCUCUUUCUUGAUUCUGUGGGUGGUGGUGCAUGGCCGUUCUUAGUUGGUGGAGUGAUCUGUCUGGUUAAUUCCGUUAACGAACGAGACCCCAGCCUGCUAAAUAGCGCGCGUGAGCUUUGCUCGCGGCGAGCUUCUUAGAGGGACUAUGAUGCGCGAUAGCACAUGGAAGUUUGGGGCAAUAACAGGUCUGUGAUGCCCUUAGAUGUUCUGGGCCGCACACGGGCUACACUGGCGCCUGCAACGAGCAUAUCAGCUGGCCCGAGAGGGUCUCGGCUAAUCUUUUGAACCGGCGCCGUGCUUGGGAUUGACCUUUGCAAUUGUUGGUCAUGCAACGAGGAAUGCCUUGUAAACGCGAGUCAUCAGCUCGCAUUGAAUACGUCCCUGCCCUUUGUACACACCGCCCGUCGCUCCUACCGAUGAAUGUUCCGAUGAAAUUUUCGGAGAGUGCCUGUGAACUUGGCUCUGCCUUGCGAACGGGAAGCUCAAAGUCACAUAAAUCUGAACAUGGAG
This 1350-nucleotide ribosomal RNA is filed under the name uncultured marine eukaryote. Its description in RNAcentral is "SSU rRNA". It matches the Rfam family "Eukaryotic small subunit ribosomal RNA", at positions 410 to 1776 of the family's 1831-position model. The record is from RNAcentral.